Molecule: ribosomal RNA, 1499 nt
Filed under: metagenome
Description: bacterial SSU rRNA
Rfam family: Bacterial small subunit ribosomal RNA
Source: RNAcentral
AGAGUUUGAUCAUGGCUCAGAUUGAACGCUGGCGGCAGGCCUAACACAUGCAAGUCGAACGGUAACAGGAAGCAGCUUGCUGCUUCGCUGACGAGUGGCGGACGGGUGAGUAAUGUCUGGGAAGCUGCCUGAUGGAGGGGGAUAACUAUUGGAAACGGUAGCUAAUACCGCAUAAUGUCGCAAGACCAAAGAGGGGGACCUUCGGGCCUCUUGCCAUCGGAUGUGCCCAGAUGGGAUUAGCUUGUUGGUGGGGUAACGGCUCACCAAGGCGACGAUCCCUAGCUGGUCUGAGAGGAUGACCAGCCACACUGAACUGAGACACGGUCCAGACUCCUACGGGAGGCAGCAGUGGGGAAUAUUGCACAAUGGGCGCAAGCCUGAUGCAGCCAUGCCGCGUGUAUGAAGAAGGCCUUCGGGUUGUAAAGUACUUUCAGCGGGGAGGAAGGGAGUAAAGUUAAUACCUUUGCUCAUUGACGUUACCCGCAGAAGAAGCACCGGCUAACUCCGUGCCAGCAGCCGCGGUAAUACGGAGGGUGCAAGCGUUAAUCGGAAUUACUGGGCGUAAAGCGCACGCAGGCGGUUUGUUAAGUCAGAUGUGAAAUCCCCGGGCUCAACCUGGGAACUGCAUCUGAUACUGGCAAGCUUGAGUCUCGUAGAGGGGGGUAGAAUUCCAGGUGUAGCGGUGAAAUGCGUAGAGAUCUGGAGGAAUACCGGUGGCGAAGGCGGCCCCCUGGACGAAGACUGACGCUCAGGUGCGAAAGCGUGGGGAGCAAACAGGAUUAGAUACCCUGGUAGUCCACGCCGUAAACGAUGUCGACUUGGAGGUUGUGCCUUUGAGGCGUGGCUUCCGGAGCUAACGCGUUAAGUCGACCGCCUGGGGAGUACGGCCGCAAGGUUAAAACUCAAAUGAAUUGACGGGGGCCCGCACAAGCGGUGGAGCAUGUGGUUUAAUUCGAUGCAACGCGAAGAACCUUACCUGGUCUUGACAUCCACGGAAGUUUUCAGAGAUGAGAAUGUGCCUUCGGGAACCGUGAGACAGGUGCUGCAUGGCUGUCGUCAGCUCGUGUUGUGAAAUGUUGGGUUAAGUCCCGCAACGAGCGCAACCCUUAUCCUUUGUUGCCAGCGGUCCGGCCGGGAACUCAAAGGAGACUGCCAGUGAUAAACUGGAGGAAGGUGGGGAUGACGUCAAGUCAUCAUGGCCCUUACGACCAGGGCUACACACGUGCUACAAUGGCGCAUACAAAGAGAAGCGACCUCGCGAGAGCAAGCGGACCUCAUAAAGUGCGUCGUAGUCCGGAUUGGAGUCUGCAACUCGACUCCAUGAAGUCGGAAUCGCUAGUAAUCGUGGAUCAGAAUGCCACGGUGAAUACGUUCCCGGGCCUUGUACACACCGCCCGUCACACCAUGGGAGUGGGUUGCAAAAGAAGUAGGUAGCUUAACCUUCGGGAGGGCGCUUACCACUUUGUGAUUCAUGACUGGGGUGAAGUCGUAACAAGGUA